RNAcentral lists this transfer RNA (34 nucleotides) under Sciurus vulgaris fuscoater. Its description in RNAcentral is "partial tRNA-Arg". The record is from RNAcentral. Lineage: Eukaryota; Metazoa; Chordata; Mammalia; Rodentia; Sciuridae.
UGGUAAUUAGUUUAAAUCAAAACAAGUGAUUUCG